RNAcentral lists this ribosomal RNA (909 nucleotides) under Phacidium lauri. RNAcentral's name for it is "LSU rRNA". It matches the Rfam family "Eukaryotic large subunit ribosomal RNA", at positions 38 to 964 of the family's 3401-position model. The record is from RNAcentral. Lineage: Eukaryota; Fungi; Ascomycota; Leotiomycetes; Phacidiales; Phacidiaceae.
GCAUAUCAAUAAGCGGAGGAAAAGAAACCAACAGGGAUUGCCUCAGUAACGGCGAGUGAAGCGGCAACAGCUCAAAUUUGAAAUCUGGCCCUUUCAGGGUCCGAGUUGUAAUUUGUAGAGGAUGUUUCGGGUGUGGCUCCGGUCUAAGUUCCUUGGAACAGGACGUCAUAGAGGGUGAGAAUCCCGUAUGUGACUGGUAGCCUAUGCUCAUGUGAAACUCCUUCGACGAGUCGAGUUGUUUGGGAAUGCAGCUCAAAAUGGGUGGUAAAUUUCAUCUAAAGCUAAAUAUUGGCCAGAGACCGAUAGCGCACAAGUAGAGUGAUCGAAAGAUGAAAAGCACUUUGGAAAGAGAGUUAAACAGUACGUGAAAUUGUUGAAAGGGAAGCGCUUGCAACCAGACUUGCAUGUAGCUGAUCAACCGGUGUUCUCACCGGUGCACUCAGUUGCGUUCAGGCCAGCAUCGGUUUCGACGGUUGGAUAAAGGCCUUGGGAAUGUAGCUCCUCUCGGGGAGUGUUAUAGCCCAGGGUGCAAUGCAGCCUGUUGGGACCGAGGACCGCGCUUCGGCUAGGAUGCUGGCGUAAUGGUUGUAAGCGACCCGUCUUGAAACACGGACCAAGGAGUCUAACAUCUAUGCGAGUGUUUGGGUGUCAAACCCAUACGCGUAAUGAAAGUGAACGGAGGUGAGAACCCUUAAGGGUGCAUCAUCGACCGAUCCUGAUGUCUUCGGAUGGAUUUGAGUAAGAGCAUAGCUGUUGGGACCCGAAAGAUGGUGAACUAUGCCUGAAUAGGGUGAAGCCAGAGGAAACUCUGGUGGAGGCUCGCAGCGGUUCUGACGUGCAAAUCGAUCGUCAAAUUUGGGUAUAGGGGCGAAAGACUAAUCGAACCAUCUAGUAGCUGGUUCCUGCCGA